RNAcentral lists this long non-coding RNA (567 nucleotides) under Olea europaea subsp. europaea. The record is from RNAcentral. Lineage: Eukaryota; Viridiplantae; Streptophyta; Magnoliopsida; Lamiales; Oleaceae.
CUACAAUCCUCUUGGUAGCCCGCAUCACCGCCCUAUCAUAAAUCGAAUCGACCCGAACUAACCUGUAAAAAUUUGUAACAGUAAGUAUUCGAAAACACCCAAUAAGAUACGUGCAAUUUCCAUAAAUAAAUAUACAUAAAAAUUAAAAUUACAUUUCAUACCACUCUCAUCUUAUGGAGUAUAUUGGUGACCAAGCGACACACCCAUCUUAGGUCCUCUUAUAAUCCCAUAUGAUUUUAUAUCUCUUAAAAAACGAAUGUCUAUUGACAAUCCAUGCAUAUUUAAUUGAAUAUAAAAGCAUGAGGAAAUGAAAACACUUGCACAUAAAGUAUCUUACCUCGUUGAUUUGAAACGUUGUAAUGGAUCAGAAAAAUUCACGUGAAACCCCCUUUUUAAUGCUUCAUUCUCUCUGACUUGACUAUUUAUUUUCUUUAGGUAAAAGUUUUCUGAAAAUUUUGUGGGUAUAUGCAUGGAAUACAUGAGCUUUAUAUAGGGGUGGUUGGAGUAAAAUAUAAGUCCUAUUUAAUCCAAAAGAUUUAUUUGAUUUGCACUACCCUUUUGUCUUUA